Acipenser ruthenus (sterlet) is the source of this 1227-nucleotide long non-coding RNA. RefSeq lists it as uncharacterized. The record is from RefSeq and is a predicted model, not a curated record. The transcript has 2 exons. NCBI's taxonomy places the organism in Eukaryota, Metazoa, Chordata, Actinopteri, Acipenseriformes, Acipenseridae.
CCGGUGCCACACUGCCAUGAGCUCCCCGUACCCACUCCUCCGGAGAGAGAGCAGCCGUCUUUAGAAGAGAGCAGCAAGUCAGAGAGCGAGGAAGACGUUGUAGAUCCAGAUGACAAUUUCAGAGGUGGAGCUGAGGAGAGAAACCCAUACUACCCCAACCAAAAAGACUACUCACUUCUAAAUCUUUUGUAGUCAUUUUUGUAUUACUUUAGUAUAAAUACAUGUUAAUUUGGAUUCAUAUGUUGUUUUUUUCUGACUUAUGUGAACGAAAAGACACAAAUUUGCCCGUUUUCUCAUUGGAAAUAGGUAAAUUUCAAAAUAUCACUGUCCUGGUCACAAAAGCAAAGUUUGUGGGGAAUAAUAGCCAUUUUCUAUACUUUUGAGGCAUAAGCAAUUGGGAAAUAACACUUACUACCCAGGAACAAAAAUUGUGUUACAUAGUGUAAUGAAUGGAUGUGCAUGGCAGGGAAAAUGUAUGCAGCUAUUUUGUUAGCUACAAUUAAUUUAAAACUGCGCAAUACAUUGAUUAAGGGGUGCCCAGUGGACUGCUUACAUUAUUAGUAAUGGUUUAGCCAUGAAAUUGCUAGCUGUUCGAUGAUGGUUUAUUAAUUAAUUAAUUUAUAUUGCUUGAGAGGGCUUGUCUUUUUGCUUGUCUUAAAACUAGAAAAGGAAAAGUGCCUGGUGCAGACAGCCAGCAUCCAUCACAAGGAGGCUGAUUCGGUGCCAGGGGUCAAAACAAUAAGGACAUUGUGAGAACGUGAGAUUGAGGAGGAGAAAUGGAAGCGCCUAUUGAUUUGUCCUGAUUGCAGUAGCUCAAAGGAAUUUAAAGGCUGAAUGAGACAUGGAGAAGAGGUACUGUAAAGAAAGACAGAAGAGACAAUUUUAAAGAUUUAACACCUGGGCUUCAAGACUAUUUUUGAUGUAUUACUCUACCCCUCCACCUCUUCUGCCUGUUUUUCCUAUACAGUGUAUACCCACUAAUAUUAUAUUCGUCACCAUCACUCUCGGAUAACCAAGUUUCUGUAACACCUAUCACAUCGUAGUUACUUGUUAGUGCAGUAGCUUCAAGUUCUACCAUUUUGUUUCUGAGACUUCUAGCAUUUAGAUAAAUACAUUUAAUGGCUAUCUUACCUGAGUUGUUGCCCUUGUUUUGAUGUACUCUCUUGAUGUACUGUUUUGUUGAAUUAGGCAAUUUCAAGUUAUUAAUAAAAGAGAAUUUUAAAAUUA